Pseudopipra pipra is the source of this 15007-nucleotide long non-coding RNA. RefSeq lists it as uncharacterized. The transcript is spliced from 3 exons. Lineage: Eukaryota; Metazoa; Chordata; Aves; Passeriformes; Pipridae. The record is from RefSeq and is a predicted model, not a curated record.
AAGCUCUGGAGAAGCAGGUGAAGGAAAGUUUUCAUAUGGACACCAUCCAGCUCAGCCUUUAAAAUGCCAUGGAAAAGACUUUACCAGCAUGACCGACUAGAAUUGGUAUCCAUCUGGGAGAAGGAAAAAAGGAAGUAACUCUAUCCAGACUCCAACUUGCUGUAAAGAGCAACAUUAUUAUGUGGCAGGAAGGCCACUAACUGGGUACACAACUGCCACAUCUUGCCAGCAACAGCACAGAAAAUUUUGCCAGAGGUGGAGCAGCCAAGCACUCCACAUGUUCCCCUCCAACCACUGCUGAAACAGCAGAGUAAAUUUCCUCUACACAGCAGCUGUAUUUGCUUGUUCCCCAGAAACGCCAAAAUAAUCAUGAGGCUUUGCUCUCCCUCUAUGACCUGGGACAGGAGAGAGAAAUCAAAGCUGUUAAAAAAAUGUAUGUUUCAUGCAUCAACAGUGAUUGUACUGAAACAGCAUCACAGACCACAGUAACCAAAUGGGGCAUUACUACAACAGGAGUGAUCUCCAUGCAGUGUAUGUGUCUCUGGGUGUAGAAGGAAGAAAGCAAAAUGAAAGAGCACCUUCUCAACCUAAGUUUGUUACAGGUUCUAGACUGCUGGAAGAAGAAUUGCUGAGAAUGACAUCUCCUGGGGCCAGGAUCUUCUGGGCAUCAGAGCCUCCUUUUGCCCAGCCAUCUCCUGUUGACCCUCAACUGCAACACUCUUCUGUGUCUGGCCUCUCUGAACCAUUAGCAGAGGCAAAACCACUGGUUGCAGGCCCACAACAGGACAAGUACUACUGCUAAACAGUGCUUCUAGGCAUUUUUAUAUUCUGACUUUUUCCUCCAGGAGAGACCAGGCUGCCGCUGGACCCCUCUGGCUCCAAAGACCAUGGGAAAUGAAUGCCAGUACUUUUUCUGGUACUGCUGAAAAAGAUGAAAUUGCCGGAUUUUUUCCUCCCUUUCUGUGUAAAUAUAGUAUGGGGUAUCCAUUACACUGUGCUUAGGAUCCCCCUGGAUGAUGAGGGGAGCAGAGACAGACAUGAAAGCAAGCACUGCUUCAUCCCCAGAGAGACAGAAUGCUCCACCCACACCAGGGACUGAUUCUGACAAGAAGGAAAUGAAUGCUGAGAAAAAUGGCUUGAAACUCAUGUAUUUGUUUCUUCUACAUUUCACAUCUAUAGGAUAAAGCUAAUGCCAGGUCAGCAUCUCAUCUUCCACGUCACUGACAGUAAAUAACAAGCCCCAAAGUAACAAGUGGCGUUUGCCAUAAGAAGCUUGGACUGGAAGAGCAGGAGAGCUACAAGGCAGGAGUGACACAAGGGCAGAAAUACUGUAGGGUGCUCUGGGCUGGGAAGGCUGCAGGGCAGGAGGGGUGCAAGGUGAGAACCAGUGUGGGAAUUCAAGUCCCAAGCAAGAUGCAGUGAGGGAGCUAGGUAGGACAGGCUUCUGCAGAAACAGCUUGCACCGAGCCUGUUCUAGUUAAUUGCCGUCAAUCCUUCACUUCCUGACAACUGCAACUCACAUUAAUUUAAAUAAUAAGAAAGACUGAGACAUGAAAAAUAGAGCAUGCUUCCCCAGCACAAUCACUGUUGCUCUCCAGAUGAAAGCAAGUGAUUUGUUUCCACAAAAAUACCCACUAUAGCAGUUAUUACAGACCAGGGGCUGCAUACGGGAGGCAGCAAGGAAACCACAAACAAGAGAAUACGCAAACAUCUGCUGUUGUUAUCCUUGCCUUUUAUGACCAAAGCCCUUCACAGCUCAAAACUCCCCCUGAGAUAUUUACCUGGGAAGGUGUGGGGCAGGCUGGAUCAACAUUAUAAUUCAAGGCUAUGGAAGGAGGCAAGGAGUAGUGCUACACCCCUUUUCCUAAUUUAGUUUACACUGGAACUGGUCAUGCCACAGCUCCCAAAGAGUUCAAAUACUUGCCUUUUGAUCAAAACAUUUAAGCACAGCACAGGCACAAAGUGGGUUGAAUAGGAACCACUGCUUUGCACAAGAGGUACUUAUAUGCAAGGGGUACUUAAAGGCCCCCGGCAGCAGUUUCUGGCUCCUGCACUGAUGGCACUCCAGUUUCAUGAUGCUACACGCAAGAUCUUAGUACAGGAGGAGGACUGGUUUGAGAGACAAGGGCAGGAAGCACAGGACGAGGAACUCAAAUCAGGUAUGGUAGAAUAAAAAAAUGGAAACAGAGGAGAUCUAGUUGGAAGACACCUCGAGCCCUGUAAUGCACACACAAGAAAUUAACAGUCAGAUAUUCCGACUGUUCCCUGUGGGCAAACAGAACUUUGCAUAAGACCCUUAAGUGCAGCCUUCUACAGUGGAGCAUCUACUCCCCAAUCUGAAAUUACAAGACUGCUUAACAGCCAAGUAUUUUGUCAGUAAAUCACAAAAUACAUUUUAAAAAACACAUUUCUUAUUCCCACUCAACAGACCUAUGAUACAGCAAAAGCUAUUUGAUACCUCCAAGACACAGAUGCAAACAGUAUUGAAAUUUCCUAAGAAAGCCCAUAAGCUUCAUUUAAGUGCUCUGCUUGUCCCAAGAAGGGCACCUUGGAUACAAAUGGAAAAAGUCACUGCAAUCCCUUCCAUAUAUCCUCAUUAGUUGCUUCCUCCAGCCUAUUUCCUUCCUCUCUAUUGGCAAGUAGGACCCCCAUCUGUUGGAGAAAAUUAAGACUCACAUCCAAAAAUACACAGGAGCCCCUGGCUCUCAGGGCAAAAAAAGAAAACAUCAGGACUUCACUCAAAAGUCAAAGGAACUUUGCAGCCACUAAAGCCCUCCGCAGGUGCCUAUCAAUUAGCCUCGAGAGUUCUCAUUUCCUUGUCCCCAGCUCCCAAUUAACAGCACUUUGCAACAAAUGCAAAGACGCUAAUAAGCCCCAAGGCAGAGGUAGGGGGGACGCUGCCCAUCAUAUGCCCCUUGAAUGCUCUGAAGCAGCCACCUUGCUCACCACAAUUAGGGGUCCUUUCCUGGGGCAAUUAAUUGACAGCAAAUUGGCCUCAUUAGUCAUUGUUUAGUUACAGCGUUUAGUUGGGAAGAGAGGACCUGAAGACGGGGCUGAGCUGCUAAACACAACUAAAUGGUUUAAUUUCCCUCUUAUGUGUACAGCAGGCUAAUCACAGCUCUUUAGGGCUGUAACAAGAAACAGCUUGUUGAAGCUAAAGUCCGCAAAGGGAGCAAGCUGAGGACUGGAAAGUAAAAUCCAGACACCCUAUGGGAUGCGGCAUGCUAAUGUUUCUGAAAGCGUUUUGCAGAAGAAAUGCGACAUGAGACCCAAGAUGUGUUUUUUUACGGUCUGAUUCACGCUGCAGUCUCAGCCAGAGGGAGAUGAAGCUGUCACCAGGGCGAGAGGGCAGAGACUGAAGUUGUUGAACUUUACAUUAAAGAGAGUGGACUCUGAAACAGCCUUCUGACCUUCCGCUUUUCUAGGCUUGGUUUCACCCUGCCAAUGCCUCGCGGCAUUAACGCUUCUGUGAAGUAGAGGCAAAUGCUGAAGGCUUGGUUUUGUUCUUUAAUCCCCUGGGAACAAAAACCCACCCCAAAUACAUAUAGUGUUUUUACAAGGUGUAAAAAGUGCUUCUUUUUAUUGUCUGAAAGGGAGUGCCUUAUCACGUGGUCCUUAGGGAAGAGUCUAUCACAGCCAGAGCAGGGAAACCACUUAAAGAGAUCUGCAGUUCCCAAACCACAGUGUGCUCCCUCACCGCUCUGCAGCAUCGUGGCUGAUCUCCAUCCAGCACCACUGCUGAUGCCAAGAGAGGCCGGGCAGAAGGAGUCACAGGGACUGCUACCUUGGGCCUUGCAUCUUGAUGAGCUUCCCCGACUGCGCAGUUGAGCCUCACCCACUGAGACGCCAGGCAGGAAAUUAUUUAAAAUCCAGAUGGGGACUGCACAUAUUGCACUGACUGGGAGCAGAGAAGCAGACGGGAUGCUGUAAAUCAAAGCCUUGUGGAAAGCGAUCCCCCUUUGCUGAGCUGGGUAGCACAUCAGAGCUCACCACACCUGAGAGGAAGAGCUUACAAGCCAAAACAUUUUGUCCAAAGGACAGCUGUGUCGCAUCCAAUAUAUAGUUAAGUGUCUGGACUAUUUUUCUGCAUAACAUUGCAUGGGAAGCACUACCAGAACAUUCUUUCUUAGCAGAGAGCAGCACAGAGUGCAAACCUGUUGGACUGUCCCAUUCCUGAGCUGCUAGAAAAGUCAGCACAGAACUGAGCUCAGUUGCUUACAGUCAUUUCCACUGACUCUACUUUUUUAAAAUUUCUCUCCAUGAAAUUUUCAGAAGAGAAAGUAUUUACCUUCAGGACUGAGGGAGAAAUGGAUGGAAAAGAGUACCUUAAGUCUCAAGCCAAUCUUGUUUCUCAGUGCACUGAAGGUGCACUCAAGGUGACAAUGUGGGACAAGAUUAAAAGCAGUCUCACUUCUGCUCCUAGCCCAGUACCUCUACUUUAAACUUGGAUGCCAGGCUUUCAUUCUAAAGCAGCUACAGCUUCAAGCUUGAGCCCCAGCGUGGGAAAAACCCCUCUUUUAAUUUUAGAAAGACGGCAUAAACUCAGGGAACAAAGAAACAAAAAAGAAUUUAUUUGGCGUGCUGGGUCCUUCCCCCACUGAGUUUUCGGGGAGAAAAGACCCAUUGGCUUUAUAUCUCAUUCAUUUUAUAGUUUUACAAAAUCCCCCCCUUUUUCAGAUAAGUUUAAUAUAUUCAUUUUUACCUAAAAAGGUUUCUUUUCUCUAAAAAGGGGCUUUUCUUUUAUUCUGAUUGGCUGCAAGGCAUCCCCUGUCAAGGAUGAUGGAUCUUCCUUUGUUCUUAGCCCAAAAAGAGAGAACCCCUUUUGUACAAAACUGGCCCCAAAAGAUUUUAAGAACUCUUGCAUUUCCCUUAUCUGGCCGAAAAAGACCCUGACACUCAAGUCCAGUAUUUUUGAGCUUGGAUAUUUUACGCCAGCCUUGGCCCAAUGCUGAUAGCAUUCCACAUACACUUGGCUUUUUGGUGUUCCCUCACCAAGCACAAGGUUACAGAACCCACAUUUGCAGAUCCUGAUGCAGCCCAGGAGAGCAGGUUCUCAAUUAUGUGGUCCCCUUAUCACCAGAUUUGCACAUCUGGAUAUGAGGUUCUUUGCUACAAAACUUCUUUUUCUUUUAUAUUAACAUGGCAAAUUUAUGACACUUAUCUGCUGUUUGUGUUUCUUGUAAAACUAACUCUCCUAAAGAAGCCUGCUGUGAAAACACAGCCUUCCUCACAGGACGUGUAAACAACAACAGAAAUGCUUGCCAUUCUAAUCCCCAGGGAUUACCCUUGGAAUGCAACCUAAUCCCAAACACUUUAGGGACUAUAGAUGUACACAGCUUUUGGUCUUUGUUUCAAGUGUAUUUAUAUAUUCCCUUAAACUGUUCUUUUUAAAUCUGGGAAGUAUUUAUUUACAGGACUGUAACAAUACAAAAUCUUUUCUUCUGCAUAUAUAAUCAGCCAUUCUGGAAGAGAAAUUCUGUGAGAAAAGUUGUCCUUCGUGUGCAGGUCUUCCAAAGACAUCUCUGAGAAUUUUUUAAGAAGAACUUUUCCACAGAAGCAUUAAGCAUGUUGGAUGUAUAUGGCAUGCAGCUGAGUCCUAAUAUGCAGCCUUUCUAGGGCUUGAUUCAGAGCCCAGGGAGCUCCUCCUCUGAUGUUAAUGGCCUUUCGACAAAUUCUUAUAGAGCCAGAAUGGGUAUGGCUUCAAGGAAAUGCUGCAGCCAUAACAGGGAUGCUUUAUAAGCCAGUUGAGAGAAAAAAAGUAAGAUUAUGGGUUUUUAACUGAGUCCCAGCUGUCCUUGGCUUCUGCCUGUUAACUCUUACUUUGGGAAGUAGACUAGGGAGCACAGGCCAUGUAUGAGAAAAAAGAACAGAGAAAAGCCUAUGAAAUUCCAGGUACAGAGAAGGUUUAGGAAGAUGACUGAGAUUUUCCUGAUUAGGCAAGCAGGGAAGUUAAUGUCAGCUAACACCCCACUCUGGAUGAAGAUGAGGUUGUCCAUCAUAGCUUUACAUACUGGAGAAACAGAGCCAAAAUGUUUGGUUUUUUGUUUGUUUGUUUUCGGAUCUUAUGCUGGUGCUUAUGUUCAGCUCAUUAGGGACAGACAGUACAACCAACAGAACAGCCUUCAUGAGCCACCUGACAGACAUCCACAUACAGGCUGAAAAGAAAAAGCAUCUCUCUCCAAAUGCUGUUCUCAGAUUCCUUUGGCUGCCCAUGGUUUAUCCCACAGCAUCUUUGAUAAACCAUAGGGUGGCAAACUCUCCUAAGUGUCUUGUGCAUACCACAUACCCAAGGAUCUGGCGCAGUUUCAACUGAGACAGCUUCUUAGUGACAAGCCUCUCACUCAAAUAAAAUGCAUGUGGUACAUGUAAAAUAUCUUUUAUUAGCAGGCUUUCCUUCCUUACACAUUGAAACGAGCAAAAUGGAAUGGGAGAGCUUGCUGUAACCACCUUUCAGGAUUGCUUUCAGGCUUCUGGGGGAGCAGAAAGCUAGCAUAGCACUUUGAAAAUACUGAGUUUGCUUCCAGUCAAAAGUAUAAAGAACAAGCAUAAUAUACCCAUACUAGGACCUUUACAUAAAAUCAUAAAAUGUCUUGGGUUGGAAGGGAUAUUAAAUCAUUUAGUUCCAAUUUCCCUCCUGUGGGCAGGGACACCUUUCACUAGACCAGGUUGCUCAGAGCUCCAUCCAACCUGGCCUUGAACACUUCCAGGGAUGGGGCAGCCACAACUUCUCUGAGCAACUUUUUCCAGUGCCUCACCCCCCUCACAGUGAAGAAUUUCCUUCUAAUAUCUAAUCUACACCUACCCUCUUUCAGUUUGAAGCCAUUCCUCCUUGUCCUGUCACUACAUACUCCUGUAAAUAGUCUCUCUCCAUCUUUCUUGGAGGAUCCCUUCAGGUACUGGAAGGCCAAAAUUAGGUCACCUUGAAGCCUUCUCUUCUCCAGGCUGAACAAUCCCAAUUCUCUUAGCCUUUCCUCAUAGGAGAGGUGCUCCAUCCCUUUAAUCACCUUGGUGGCCCUCUUCUGGAGUCGCUCCAACAGGUCUAUGUCCUGUCUGUGCUGAGGACCCCAGAGCUGGAUGCAGCACUCCAGGUGGGGUCUCACCAGAGUGGAGGGGCAGAAUCACCUCUUUCCAUCUGCUGACCACACUGCUCUUGAAGCAGCCUUGGACACGUUUGGCUUUCUGGGCUGUGAGCACACAUUGCUGGAUUGUGUCCAGCCUCUCACCUACUAGCACCCCACACUCCUUCUCGGCAGGACUGCUCUCGAUCUGUUCCUCCCCCAGCCUCUAUUGAUACUGAGGGUUGCCCCGACCCCCACUCAAGGUGCAGCACCUUGCACUUGGUCUUGUUAAAUCACAGGAGAUUCCCAUAGGCUCACUUCUCAAGCUUGUGUGGUUCCCUCUAGAUGGUAUCCCAUCCUUCAUGCUUUAGAUAAAAUUUAUUCUUCUGUUAAGUGCACGGAUUUGGAGAAGACAGUAAAGUACUGUACACUGUCCUUCAUCUGUAAAUUUCCAACUUAUGGCCCAGGACAGAUAUCUGUUAAGAACACACGAAUUUUGAGUGUGAAAAAGACUGAAAGUGCAGCUUCACAUUUUUUUCGCUUGGGCUGCUCAGCACAUUCCUGCUUUGUCACUAUUGCUGGAUCCACAGAUGUUGGCCUUCCCUACCACACACAGUUAUGAAAUGCUAGCUGUGAGACCUCCACUUGUUAGCUUGGUGAUAGCUGCAGCAGCCUACUUUCUAAACGCCAGGGUGUUAUCAUCAUCUCAGAAGGGAAAGCCAAAGAGUUCAAGGCAAAGAAUGCCUCUUGUUGGAAAUUCCCAUCUACACAAGUCUGAUCAAGCAGAAAAGAGAAAAAAACAAAUAAAAUACUCCUGAAGUAAAGGUAUCUUUGAAAAAAGUAAGCAGCAGGCUAAAGCUGAGAUGUGAUUGUGGUGAUUUCAUUCCCACAAACCAACGGACAGCCAAGGUUUCCUGAGGAAGAGAAUUUCUGCUGUCGGAGAGAGUUCCCCGCCAAAAGAGAGUGCUCUGUUUUGGUUCAGCCACGUGCAGCAGCACCUUGAUGUCUUGGAAGUUUCCCACUGUUUCCCUUUCCAAGCUUUGCUCUGUGGUAAAGAUGCGCUGUAUACAUGCAGACAACCUCAAAGGGGGAAAAGGAUGAAUUCCAAGAGCUUUGCUCUGUAAACACAUUACAUUGAAUUGAUGCCAUUUCAAUUAAAGGAGAAUCUCUCCCAGACUGCCAGGCAUGAGGCUUAUUCCAUGUGGCCUGCAGCUUUACCAAGACACACAAAAACACUGUCUUCUUCCCCCAGGGGGGUUCAAGUCUGUCCUCUUCAAAACUGACAAUUUUUUUUUCUGAUUUCCUAGUGUUAGCAAACUGAGGGAGAGUCACAGAAUCAGAGAAUGGGUCACGUUGAAACAGACCACAGUGGGUUACCUGGUCCAACCUCCCUGCUCAAGUAUCAUCCUAGAGUACACUACAUGGGAUUGCAUCCAGACAGUUCUUGAAUAGCUCUAGUGAGGGAGACUCCACAACCUUUCUGGGCAGUCUGUUCCAGUGCAGGGUCAACUGCACAAUAAAGAAGUUCUUCCUUAUACUCAGAUGGAACUUCCUGUGUAUCAGCUUCUGCCCGUUGCCUCUUGUCCUAUUGCUUGGCACCACCAAGUAGAGCCUGGCUCCAUCCUCUUGGUAUCCUCCCUUCAGAUACUUGUAUACAUUGAUGAGGUCUCCUCUCAGUUGUCUCUUCUUGAGACUGAACAGGCCCAGCUCCCUCACCUGUUCCUCCUAAGAGAGAUGCUACAGUCUCUUUAAUCAUCUUUGUUGCCCUUCGCUGAGCCUGGUACAGGAGCUCCAUGUCUCUCUUGUCCCGAGAAGCCCAGAACCGGACACAGCACUUCUGUCCUCACUAGGGCUGAGUAGAGGGGCAGGAUCACCUCCCUUGAUCUGCUGGCAAUGCUCUUCCUAAUACACAUUAAAUUCUAGGAUUGAAGAGAAAUGCAGGAUCAAGAGCCUCAGGUACUCAAUUUCCACCAGAGCUGAGCUGGAUUACCCCCCCAAAUUAUUCUGAGAGGCUGGGAGGAGGCAGACUGUCAGAUGCUCAGGGUUAGCUAUAAAUGCAGGUGCCUACAAGAAAGAAGCAGCAAAAUUUUGUAAGUUUCAGAAUCACAAGUAACAAACCAAGAAGAACACGGUAGACAUUGUCCAUCCAGGACAAUGAGGUUACAUCCAGAAAGGUUUCCAGCACCUUUAUGUUGAGUGGGACAACAGCUUUACAGAUAACUUUUGUCUAAGGUUCUGCAAGCAAAUGCUCAUCACCCCAGAAAUCCAAUGCUACUAGCUGGAGAUUAGGAAUGAGAUACCUCCUCUGAUUGUCAACAAAGAACACUAACAAAAAACUGCAAAUACUUCCACCACAAUAGGGAAUCAAAAACUAAGUCUGAUGGAAAACGUAAGCCAUGUCUCUCUGCUGUAGCAGCACAUCCACAUCUGUGCACUUGGAAUAGCACAGCUAGCAGGGUAAGCAACAUUACCAAAACCUGAAGGAAUCACUCAGGUACUUCAUGUUAAAGCAGCUGUUCUGCUACACACUUGUGCUCCACCUUUCUAAGGCUCAGUUCCCACUGUCACUCUUAGGGAACUACUGUGUGCAAGAUAUGUGGCAUCCCCCUGAGACUGACACCUGACUGGUGUCACAGGAGGUAUGGUGCCUUACCAUCAACAGCUCCAACAGGCAAGUAGGAGAAGUAAGGGAAGAAUAUCUGCAAAGCCUCAGACUGUUCCUUAUGAGGAAUUAACAUGCUGCAAAGUUCCUUGGCACAGCAAAAAGGGCAAAUCCAAGGCAGACCUAUUCAUGGGCACAGGAAACAGGCCUGAUCCUUUACUGGUGGUAUAAACUAAAGAGAAUAUACUCUUUUACAAGAAAGGGAAUGCAGAGAAGGAGAGAAUCAGCCCUGUGAUUCAUAAACCCAGUGUAAAAAGCUAGACUCACAAAAUAUUGUGCAAACUGAAGAGGAAUAGAAAUGUAAUCAAUAUAGUUAGGGAUACUGAUGAAUGAUAAGGAUACAUUCAUACACUUUCCGUUCUGAUGGUCACGAUAUACUGGAGUCUGCAAAAAACGAUUUUCUUAAAGUACAAAGAGUGAUAAAAAAUAUAAAGAAACUUUGCAUCGGAACACAAUGAUGAAAACUCUGCCAAAGCCUGAGGAAAAGCAGAGAUAUAGCCGAGAUGGCAUCACACUAUGGAUCAACCUGCCACUGGAUUGGGCUCAGACACUUGUGACAAAUAGGCACAAGGGAUGCAGCGCAAAUACAGUGUGACACUAUAUCCUGGGCAUACGCUUGAUGUAUGGAGGAUUAAAUGCCACACACACACUGUCCUGGGUAGAUUGUAUCUAGUGCUGACAGAUACCUGAGGGAUCUGUCUCUUUCUUUAUACACUUUGGCAAUUGCCAUGCCAACAAAGGAUUAUGGGACUGGGGGGGUGAGAAGGAGAGAUCAUUUGCCACUCUGUUUAAUAGAGACUUUAUCCUCUAGGGGGAUUUUGUCAAGAUGUUGGAUUUCUUCUUAAAUGAUAUUUCUACCUGCCUGUACACAUUUGGGGUUGAUAGGCUUUACUCCUUUCCUCUCUGUCCCUCUAACACAACACCUCGUUCUUCUGGAGUCCCAAACCAACCUCUGAGCCAAUGUGGCCUCUCUAAGCUGGUUUGAAAACUGCUGCCCUCAACCCUUGCCUCCAUGCAUGCUGCAAAGGCAAGAAAACAACCAACAUGCUGCAAAGACCAAUUCCUUUCCCUCUCUGGUGAGCCCUCUGAUUGAUGGCUCCGUUCGUCAAGAGAGACAGACUGUCUGGAGUGUGAGAUAGCUAACUAUCACCUGGGGAGGCUAUUAGAGGGAGAAGUAGGGAGAGAGGGAGAGACAAACAGACAGACUGAAAGACAAAGACAGACAGAAAGAAAGGAAUGCUGAGGAGGAAGAAAGAGAAAAAGAGCGACAGCAGAGUGCAAAUGAAAAAAAGACAGUAGCACUUGAUGAAUUAAGUUGUCAACUUUGGCAUCACCUGUGUACCUUGUCAUGCCAAUAAAUUCAUUGAAGCUGAAGCUGCACUGCGAGUCAAGAGUGAGAGAGUGCUGAUGGAAGGAAGAAAUAACAGCCCAUUUAAAGACUCAGAGCAAUUUAUUAGUUACCUCAGGAACAAAGUAGUGACAAUGGGGAAGGAGAGGUGCUUCCCCAUCAUGCUGGGCAGGGAAGCUCAUUUUGGAUUCAGGCUGUCCACCCAGUCACACUGCAGAAAGCAAAGAGAUAAACAGAGGCCUGGUUCAAGAAAGAGAAAAACGGGGGAGAGACUCACUGGGGUUCAAGGGAAACAGGGCAGACACAUGCCUUUGCACAGUACUACAUGCCUUGGGACAUCCCUUGAGGAAUUGAGGGAAGAUAUUGAGAUCAAGUAGCCAGAUACCCCUGUUGUGAGGGGAGAAAAAGGGUGUAGAGCACAGCCAGCAUUGCAGCACUGAGGGAACGUGAAGGAAAGUACAAAUGGAAAGCACAGCUCUGGCAUAGAGGGGUGAUGUGCUGGAAAGCUAGGAGGGAGACAAAAUCCUCUGCUGACUGAGUUGGAAGCAUGGCACUGAGAUGCGAGCAGCUUUGACUGACGGCACCAGGGAGGCACUGCUCCAAGAUGCUUUCCUGCACAGCUAAGGAGAUUGUCACUAACUUUUUAAAGGAUCCUGCAUGUCUUAGAAGAGGAGUUCACAAGCUCCUGCCAUCCCCCAGAACUCCAGUGAACUCUGUUGGAAUGGGAAAACCAAUGGUAUGAUGCCCUCACCCAAUAUACUUUUUCUCCCCUACUAUUACAACUUACCAAACUGAACAGUAUCUGCCCCAAUUGUUUGAGAAAUGUGUCUGCCUCUUUACUCCCUUCCCUUCUUUCCUCCAACUCAUCUUUUCCCACUCAGGAGCUUCUGCAACCCCUGUACUCCCAGAAGAUGUUCAGCUCCCAACAAAAAUUCUCGUAUCUGCCACAGGGACUAAGAGUCACAGAAGCUGAUUUCCAAAGCAACCUCAGACCCCCUGUGACCUCAUUUGUAGCCAUCCAAAGAUGUUUACAUUUAUGUGACAAGACAUGUUCACUGACCCUUCCCUGCAAUGAGCUGAUCGCAACCAACCGCCAGGCAUUGCACCAAGAAAGAGAAGGACACCACCUGCUCCGAGAUUCAUUCCUCUCAUGGCCUCUGCUGCUGCAUGCUCCACUGAUGCCCCGAGCUUGGACAGAGAAGUGGGAAGGAAGGAGAAAGGAAAAAACCUAGAUUCCUCCUUCAGACAGAAGUAUUGUUGGUAUUUCCUUUGAUCAGGGAGAAAUUCUGACUCAGCUACACAAGUGGAGAAGCCAGUCUUUUCAGCUUGAGUGAAAAACUGAAGAUUUACAACUGUUCAGGAUAUUUGGAGAGUUUGGGUAGAAGUAUGUAUACACAUGAUAACAUCUGACAAGUCCAUGCAGAGAAAUAAUAUAUCUGGCAUAAAACUAUCUUAUGUGGGUGUCUUUGUAUGUGCAUACAUACAAGACAUAAACAUACUUAGAAAGUGUACAUAUGUAUAGAUAGAUACAUACUGAUACAUGCACAUAUUGCCAUUUGCUCCUGAAACUCCCAGCCUCUUGGAGAGCUCUCCUCUGGCUGGUGUUUUGUCAGCUGCCAGGCAGCCGUGACACAGCUGCCCUGACCGGAGUCCCCUGAGCUGUGUGGUGCAGCUCUGCUGGCUACCUUCAAUUCAAUAUCAAAUGAGAACAGGGAUCUCACUGAGCCAAGCUCCAUUCUGAUCUGACUUAUGCCCAAAUCAGAUCAGCUGUAGUGCCCUCGGGCUGUGGCGCUGUAUUAAAUUUGAGGGCAGCUUUAAUCUGCUUCACUGUUUGCACAGUGGAAGCUGUGCUUGGCCUACUGGGAAAUCACGAGUAUGUCCCUCAUUCAAGUAAAGUGGACAUUUCUCUUCCAGGAAUUGUGAUCUUUGUGUUCGUGUAACUUAGUUUAAAUGAUCUAAACUGGUGGCUUCCAAUCCCUCUUGUUCUGAGGGCACCUUGCAACUUCCAGGGGAAGGUACAUGCACCAUAUAGUGAAUAUAUCUGUUAACAAUAGGUUUGGUUUUCCUGAAGUCCAUAUACUUCCUGAGAGUCACAGACUGUGGCAAUCUGAUGGAUUUUCACUUACUAAGGGGAAGAAAGGAAAAUGUCUCAUGAUUCAUAGUCUUCUUCUGUUAGGGGUAUUGAGCUGAUUAUUGACACUUUAGCAACAGGAGCAGAAACACGAAGCUGCAGACAUGGGGACCUUUUGCCACAUGGGGACCUUUUGAUGUGUAGAGGCUUGCAGUACUUUUAAGUGUCCCUGUCUCCUUGCAAGGUUACCAGACACAUCCUGCCCCACCACAAGAAGUCACUUCUAACCACACGCAUACCCAUUAUGGGCAUCCUUGCUCGUGAAGGCACCCCACUGACCCUCUGUAGUGCCUCGCUGUCCCUGCCACAACAGAAGGUCAUUGAGAUGCACAUGUAAAUCCCUGAAUGCCAGGCUCUCAGAGUAGGACAGCACUUACACCACCAGUGGUGUCCUGGCACCUGGGCAUUGGCCCUGGUGGCACUGAUCACAUCUGUAAGUGGGCUGUGUUGCUUGCUAGCUAAGCAGGGCUUUGGGUAGCGCCAAGUCAGGAAGCAAGCAGGAAAAAAUCCUUCAGACAGCCUCUCUGUCCAGCUGAGGAGGUACAUGUGUAUGGAAGGUACACCUGCUAAAUGAUUUCCACUCCAACCCACGAGGCAAAGAAAGCACUGACAUCAGGACCACUCCCAAAGAGUCUCUUUCUUAGGGCAUGCGGGUUCCUCUGCCACACCUUAACAGUUCAUGAGGAGGGCUGGUGUCAUGAUCCCAGUGUCACAGGAAAGGAACACCAAGCACAUCGAAAGCAAUGUGACUUGCCCAAGGGAACAGAUGGGACCAAAGCUGAGGGAGGUGGCUGUGAGGUUCAGCAGUGUGACAUCGGGCUGGUGGUAAGGAAGGCUAGCUUCUUACUCUGCCAUUGCGUGGUUCUGAGCCAGUUGUUCCAACCCUCUUUACCCUCUCUUUUCCUCCCUCUCCCGAGCCUUCUGUUUUCCAGUUCUUUUGAUCACGAAUUGACAAGCUCUGUGUGUGUGCAUACAUACCAGUAGCCUGGGCCUUACUUGAGCCUUUUGGUUACUAUAACAAUACAAAUGGAACAACCUAGAAUUUCAGACUUGCCACCCACCCAGCAGUUUGACCAGGGUUGUGCUUUUGCAAAGACCAGGCCUGUAUUCUAGGCUUAUUUUUAGAAAAUCUAAUUUGUAGACAUGAGACCUUGCAGAGGAAACAGUAUUAGACUGAAAAAUUCCCUUCCUCAAAAAGCCUUUUAAAACCAACCAUGACCAACUUGCUAUCCUGAACUGCUGAGGAGCCCAGGACACCUCAAAGGUGGCCUGCCUUUAUCUGUGUUUAGCUGAGAAACAGAUAAAAGUAUUGUAAGGCGGUGAUGGGAUCAUGCUAGAGGCUACAGACAGGAAGAAUGACUGAAUUUCAUUUGAAAAGACUGUUCAAUAGGGGACAUUCAUUAUGACAUCUAAAUUACUAGAUGCCAAGUGUUUGUUAAAAUACGAUGUGGUCUGGAGGGAGGCAAACAAAUAAAAAGGGCUUGGAGAAGCAGUGAGUAAUGGUGACCCAAUUCAUUUAACUAUCGAUAAAACACAGGUGAGGAAACAUUCGGGAGAAAAAAAAUCUCUGCAAAUCAUCAGCUAAUGGAUUAAAUGCAUCUGAGUGUGAGAUGGAAAUUAACUGAUCAAUUCACUCAACAGCUGCUAAUUAUAUGUGACAAGGCUUGGAGAACUCCAGAAGUCUAUGGAGCUCAGAGGAAAACAGUGCUGGUAGAAAAAUUUGAAGGCUGCCUCUUGCCACUGUGGGGUACAACAUUUGCCCCAGUGAGAGAAUGUCACUGUCACUGAAUAAAAUUUAACUGUGCAAA